GUGCUUUGAGGUGGUCAAUUUCGUGGCAGCCACACGCCGACGGUAUUGAUAGGGGAAACCCGAGAGAUGCAGGGGAACGCCACGCCUGCCAAAGCGC
RNAcentral lists this non-coding RNA (97 nucleotides) under unclassified sequences. RNAcentral's name for it is "skipping-rope RNA". It matches the Rfam family "skipping-rope RNA". From Rfam's summary of the family: Firmicutes, Fusobacteria, AlphaProteobacteria, Spirochaetes. The record is from Rfam by way of RNAcentral.